Molecule: ribosomal RNA, 818 nt
Filed under: uncultured Burkholderiales bacterium
Lineage: Bacteria; Pseudomonadati; Pseudomonadota; Betaproteobacteria; Burkholderiales
Description: bacterial SSU rRNA
Rfam family: Bacterial small subunit ribosomal RNA
Source: RNAcentral
GUCGAACGGUAGCAGGUCUUUUUGGAUGCUGACGAGUGGCGAACGGGUGAGUAAGACAUCGGAACGUACCCGACUGUGGGGGAUAACGAGGCGAAAGCUUUGCUAAUACCGCAUAAGUUCUGCGGAAGAAAGCUGGGGACCCAUUUGGGCCUGGCGCAGACGGAGCGGCCGAUGGCAGAUUAGGUAGUUGGUGGGAUAAAAGCUUACCAAGCCAACGAUCUGUAGCUGGUCUGAGAGGAUGAUCAGCCACACUGGGACUGAGACACGGCCCAGACUCCUACGGGAGGCAGCAGUGGGGAAUUUUGGACAAUGGGGGCAACCCUGAUCCAGCCAUGCCGCGUGCAGGACGAAGGCCUUCGGGUUGUAAACUGCUUUGUACGGGACGAAAGGGACUGCUUUAAUAGGGUAGUUUUAUGACGGUACCGUAAGAAUAAGCACCGGCUAACUACGUGCCAGCAGCCGCGGUAAUACGUAGGGUGCGAGCGUUAAUCGGAAUUACUGGGCGUAAAGCGUGCGCAGGCGGUAUUGUAAGACAGAGGUGAAAUCCCUGGGCUCAACCUGGGAACUGCCUUUGUGACUGCAAUGCUGGAGUGCGGCAGAGGGGGAUGGAAUUCCGCGUGUAGCAGUGAAAUGCGUAGAUAUGCGGAGGAACACCGAUGGCGAAGGCAAUCCUCUGGGCCUGCACUGACGCUCAUGCACGAAAGCGUGGGGAGCAAACAGGAUUAGGUACCCUGGUAGUCCACGCCCUAAACGAUGUCAACUGGUUGUUGGGGAUUGAUUUUCUCAGUAACGAAGCUAACGCGUGAAGUUGACCGCCU